UUGACGGGGCCCGCACAAGCAGUGGAGUAUGUGGUUUAAUUCGAAGCAACGCGAAGAACCUUACCAGGGCUUGACAUCCCUUGAAGCAGCUAGAGAUAGCUGUGUCCUUCGGGACAAGGAGACAGGUGGUGCAUGGUUGUCGUCAGCUCGUGUCGUGAGAUGUUGGGUUAAGUCCCGCAACGAGCGCAACCCCUGUGGUUAGUUGCCAGCAAGUAGCGUUGGGCACCCUAGCCAGACUGCCGGUGAUAAAUCGGAGGAAGGUGGGGACGACGUCAAAUCAUCAUGCCCUUUAUGUCCUGGGCUACACACGUACUACAAUGGCCGUUACAACGGGAAGCGAAGGAGCAAUCCGGAGCAAACCCCUUAAAGGCGGUCCCAGUUCAGAUUGUGGGCUGAAACUCGCCCACAUGAAGGCGGAAUUGCUAGUAAUUGCAGAUCAGCAUGCUGCAGUGAAUACGUUCCCGGGCCUU
This 470-nucleotide ribosomal RNA is filed under the name uncultured bacterium. RNAcentral's name for it is "bacterial SSU rRNA". It matches the Rfam family "Bacterial small subunit ribosomal RNA", at positions 910 to 1382 of the family's 1533-position model. The record is from RNAcentral.